RNAcentral lists this ribosomal RNA (459 nucleotides) under uncultured bacterium. RNAcentral describes it as "partial 16S ribosomal RNA". It matches the Rfam family "Bacterial small subunit ribosomal RNA", at positions 338 to 795 of the family's 1533-position model. The record is from RNAcentral.
CCUACGGGUGGCAGCAGUGAGGAAUAUUGGUCAAUGGGCGGGAGCCUGAACCAGCCAAGUCGCGUGAGGGACGACGGUCCUAUGGAUUGUAAACCUCUUUUGUCGGGGAACAAAGGCGUCCACGGGUGGGCGGAUGAGUGUACCCGAAGAAAAAGCAUCGGCUAACUCCGUGCCAGCAGCCGCGGUAAUACGGAGGAUGCGAGCGUUAUCCGGAUUUAUUGGGUUUAAAGGGUGCGUAGGCGGGCAUUUAAGCCGGCGGUCAAAUGUCGGGGCUCAACCCCGGCCUGCCGUCGGAACUGGGUGCCUUGAGUGGGCGAGAAGUAUGCGGAAUGCGUGGUGUAGCGGUGAAAUGCAUAGAUAUCACGCAGAACCCCGAUUGCGAAGGCAGCUUACUAAACUGCCACUGACAUUGAUGCUCGAAAGUGUGGGUAUCAAACAGGAUUAGAUACCCCAGUAGUC